UGACAAUGAGUGAUCACUAGAUGUCCAGG
This 29-nucleotide non-coding RNA is filed under the name Mus musculus (house mouse). The record is from RNAcentral. Lineage: Eukaryota; Metazoa; Chordata; Mammalia; Rodentia; Muridae.